CGGCAGACGGGUGAGUAACGCGUGGGAACAUACCUCUUGGUUCGGAACAACACAGGGAAACUUGUGCUAAUACCGGAUAAGCCCUUACGGGGAAAGAUUUAUCGCCGAGAGAUUGGCCCGCGUCUGAUUAGCUAGUUGGUGAGGUGACGGCUCACCAAGGCGACGAUCAGUAGCUGGUCUGAGAGGAUGAUCAGCCACAUUGGGACUGAGACACGGCCCAA
This 221-nucleotide ribosomal RNA is filed under the name uncultured bacterium. RNAcentral's name for it is "partial 16S ribosomal RNA". It matches the Rfam family "Bacterial small subunit ribosomal RNA", at positions 96 to 334 of the family's 1533-position model. The record is from RNAcentral.